GCCAGACUCCUACGGGAGGCAGCAGUGAGGAAUAUUGGUCAAUGGGCGGGAGCCUGAACCAGCCAAGCCGCGUGAAGGAAGAAGGCGCCAGGCGUCGUAAACUUCUUUUGUCGGGGAACAAAGGGCGUCACGCGUGGCGUUGUGAGUGUACCCGAAGAAAAAGCAUCGGCUAACUCCGUGCCAGCAGCCGCGGUAAUACGGAGGAUGCGAGCGUUAUCCGGAUUUAUUGGGUUUAAAGGGUGCGUAGGCGGGGCAGAAAGUCCAGCGUAAAAGGCCGGGGGCCAACCCCGGGCGAGCCGUUGAAACUGUCGGACUAGAGACGGCGAGAAGUGCGCGGAAUGCGCGGUGUAGCGGUGAAAUGCAUAGAUAUCGCGCAGAACUCCGAUUGCGAAGGCAGCGUACCGGCGCCGGACUGACGCUGAGGCACGAAAGCGUGGGUAUCGAACAGGAUUAGAUACCCCUGUAC
RNAcentral lists this ribosomal RNA (466 nucleotides) under uncultured bacterium. Its description in RNAcentral is "bacterial SSU rRNA". It matches the Rfam family "Bacterial small subunit ribosomal RNA", at positions 330 to 793 of the family's 1533-position model. The record is from RNAcentral.